UAAUGCCGGAUGUGCCGGGCUCCUGCAUGGGGGUCCGGGAAAGCUCUGGCGGCGUGGGAUGGGGUCGCGUCCUAUCAGCUUGUUGGCGGGGUGAGGGCCCACCAAGGCUUCGACGGGUAGCCGGCCUGAGAGGGCGACCGGCCACAUUGGGACUGAGAUACGGCCCAGACUCCUACGGGAGGCAGCAGUGGGGAAUAUUGCACAAUGGGCGCAAGCCUGAUGCAGCGACGCCGCGUGCGGGAUGGAGGCCUUCGGGUUGUAAACCGCUUUUGUUUGGGAGCAAGCCCUUCGGGGUGAGUGUACCUUUCGAAUAAGCACCGGCUAACUACGUGCCAGCAGCCGCGGUAAUACGUAGGGUGCGGGCGUUAUCCGGAAUUAUUGGGCGUAAAGGGCUCGUAGGCGGUUCGUCGCGUCCGGUGUGAAAGUCCAUCGCUUAGCGGUGGAUCCGCGUCGGGUACGGGCGGGCUGGAGUGCGGUAGGGGAGACUGGAAUUCCCGGUGUAACGGUGGAAUG
This 513-nucleotide ribosomal RNA is filed under the name uncultured bacterium. RNAcentral describes it as "bacterial SSU rRNA". It matches the Rfam family "Bacterial small subunit ribosomal RNA", at positions 164 to 688 of the family's 1533-position model. The record is from RNAcentral.